GACGAACGCUGGCGGCGUGCUUAACACAUGCAAGUCGAACGGAAAGGCCCUGCUUUUGUGGGGUGCUCGAGUGGCGAACGGGUGAGUAACACGUGAGUAACCUGCCCUUGACUUUGGUAUAACUUCAGGAAACUGGGUCUAAUACCGGAUAGGAGCUCCUGCUGCAUGGUGGGGGUUGGAAAGUUUCGGCGGUUGGGGAUGGACUCGCGGCUUAUCAGCUUGUUGGUGGGGUAGUGGCUUACCAAGGCUUUGACGGGUAGCCGACCUGAGAGGGUGACCGGCCACAUUGGGACUGAGAUACGGCCCAGACUCCUACGGGAGGCAGCAGUGGGGAAUAUUGCACAAUGGGCGGAAGCCUGAUGCAGCAACGACGCGUGCGGGAUGACGGCCUUCGGGGUGUAAACCGCUGUCGCCUGUGACGAAGCGUGAGUGACGGUAAUGGGUAAAGAAGCACCGGAUAACUACGUG
This 468-nucleotide ribosomal RNA is filed under the name uncultured bacterium. Its description in RNAcentral is "partial 16S ribosomal RNA". It matches the Rfam family "Bacterial small subunit ribosomal RNA", at positions 28 to 507 of the family's 1533-position model. The record is from RNAcentral.